GGAUGCGAUCAUACCAGCACUAAAGCACCGGAUCCAUCAGAACUCCGCAGUUAAGCGUGCUUGGGCGAGAGUAGUACUAGGAUGGGUGACCCCUGGGAAGUCCUCGUGUUGCAUCCC
Molecule: ribosomal RNA, 117 nt
Filed under: Ananas comosus (pineapple)
Lineage: Eukaryota; Viridiplantae; Streptophyta; Magnoliopsida; Poales; Bromeliaceae
Source: RNAcentral